UGGGGGAAACCCUGAUCCAGCGAUGCCGCGUGGGUGAAGAAGGCCUUCGGGUUGUAAAGCCCUUUAGGUUGGGAAGAAGUGCACCAGUUUAAGAGAUGGGUGUGUUGACGGUACCAACAGAAUAAGCACCGGCAAACUCUGUGCCAGCAGCCGCGGUAAUACAGAGGGUGCAAGCGUUAAUCGGAUUUACUGGGCGUAAAGAGCAUGUAGGUGGUUGAGUGUGUGUGAUGUGAAAGCCCCGGGCUUAACCUGGGAAGUGCAUCGCAAACUGCUCAACUGGAGUCUAGGAGAGGGUGAUGGAAUUUCCGGUGUAGCGGUGAAAUGCGUAGAGAUCGGAAGGAACGUCGAUGGCGAAGGCAGUCACCUGGCCUAAGACUGACACUGAGAUGCGAAAGCGUGGGGAGCGAACAGGAUUAGAUACCCUGGUAGUCCACGCCGUAAACGAUGAGGACUAGAUGUUGGGAGGGCGACCUCUUAGUAUCGAAGCUAACGCGAUAAGCCUUCCGCCUGGGGAGUACGGCCGCAAGGCUAAAACUCAAAGGAAUUGACGGGG
This 553-nucleotide ribosomal RNA is filed under the name uncultured bacterium. RNAcentral describes it as "bacterial SSU rRNA". It matches the Rfam family "Bacterial small subunit ribosomal RNA", at positions 372 to 918 of the family's 1533-position model. The record is from RNAcentral.